This 487-nucleotide long non-coding RNA is filed under the name Cyanoderma ruficeps (rufous-capped babbler). Its description in RNAcentral is "lncRNA (ENSCRFG00000011409.1)". Lineage: Eukaryota; Metazoa; Chordata; Aves; Passeriformes; Timaliidae. The record is from RNAcentral.
GACGGGGCAGGGGCAGGAAGUCGGGGGGCUGGGCAGAGCCGGGGACGGGGGGGUGGCGGGCAGUGCCUGGUGCUCCUGCUCGGCUCCGGCUGCCACCGCCCCUGAGUCAGCCCUGCCGCUGCCCCGCCCUGCCCCAGCCGUCCGUCCGGACACAGGGAAGGAGCCAACCAUCCAGCUGCAGCUCCACCCUCCCAGUGCUGCCAGAUGUGCCUCCACGUUGUGCUGCACCUGCAACCCACUCUGGAGAUCCUUCCCUGCCUCCUGCACUGCUGACCACCAGCUCCACGGGAUCCCCAACCUGUCCCUGCAGGUCCUCCAACGGCUUGUGCUGUGGACUGCUGGGCUCCCCGCUGCGCUCAGCAUGCCCUUUUCUGGUGCAGCCAGACCCUCCCAGGAAUCAGUCUGGAGCUUGAGGCCAUCCUGUAGGGUAAGGUGAUCCAGCCAAGGUGCUGCCAGUGCCAGGGCUGCUCUCCCAGCUAACGCACGU